CCCACCUGUUAAAGUGCCUGAGGCUCCCAAAGAAGUUGUCCCUGAAAAGAAGGUGUCUGUGGCACUUCCUAAAAAGCCAGAAGUCCCACCUGUUAAAGUGCCUGAAGUUCCUCAAGAAAUUGUCCCUGAAAAGAAAGCACCAG
Molecule: long non-coding RNA, 143 nt
Organism: Ailuropoda melanoleuca (giant panda)
Lineage: Eukaryota; Metazoa; Chordata; Mammalia; Carnivora; Ursidae
Exons: 3
Source: RefSeq, a predicted model, not a curated record